UGAGGAAUCUUGCGCAAUGGGGGAAACCCUGACGCAGCAACGCCGCGUGAGUGAGGAAGGUCUUCGGGUCGUAAAGCUCUGUCAGGCGGGAAGAAAUGCAUGGAGGUGAACAGCCGCCAUGCUUGACGGUACCGCCAGAGGAAGCACCGGCUAACUCCGUGCCAGCAGCCGCGGUAAUACGGGGGGUGCAAGCGUUGUUCGGAAUCAUUGGGCGUAAAGAGCGUGUAGGCGGCUCGGUAAGUCAGAUGUGAAAGCCCUGGGCUCAACCCGGGAAGUGCAUUUGAAACUGCCAGGCUCGAGUAGGGGAGAGGGAAGUGGAAUUCCUGGUGUAGAGGUGAAGUUCGUAGAUAUCAGGAGGAACACCGGUGGCGAAGGCGACUUCCUGGCCCUAUACUGACGCUGAGACGCGAGAGCGUGGGUAGCAAACA
Molecule: ribosomal RNA, 428 nt
Filed under: uncultured bacterium
Lineage: Bacteria
Description: bacterial SSU rRNA
Rfam family: Bacterial small subunit ribosomal RNA
Source: RNAcentral